This 749-nucleotide long non-coding RNA is filed under the name Oryctolagus cuniculus (rabbit). RNAcentral describes it as "lncRNA (ENSOCUG00000032543.1)". The record is from RNAcentral. Lineage: Eukaryota; Metazoa; Chordata; Mammalia; Lagomorpha; Leporidae.
GCAACAGCGAGGCCACAGGAGAUACCCACCCUUGUGUCCAUGGCAGCAGUUAGAUACACACACACAGAGACAUGUACACACAUCCACAAACAGCUGCAUCCCCAAUAGCUGAUGUAGCACUCACCAAUAGCCACAUACAGCCACACACCCACAGCACCUGCAUCUAGCUAUACUCCCCAUUUGCUUAUGUGGGCUUUCAGAUAAUAGUGGCCAGGAGCCAGAUUGUUGCAUAGCAGACUUGUGGGCAGCUAGCCAAGCAGGUGGAACCAUUGGUUACCAUGACACCAGUUACUAUAGAGAGCACAGAGACAAGAGGGUAAAAGGCAUUGGCACUUGACAAAUACCAUCUUCCCAAACUCAUCUCAACAUCCCAUUGGAUCAGCCCAAGGACUUAAGGAGGUUGCAGGAACCCGAUCACUGGGCUGUUGCCACCACCGCUCAGGAGGUGCAGCAGCAGGAAGCUGGACUCGGGAGCUGGAACUGGAAGCUGACAGAGGAACUCUGAUGUAGAACAAUGCCAAACACCCACUCACCCCUCAUAUAGAAAUGUUUAUACUGAAGAGAUUUUGGUUAUUGGAAUAGCAAUUAAACUUUGUGAUUACAAUUAAAAUGAGGCAUUUAGUAAUUGAUUAAAAUUUGUUUUAAGUUGAAUUCUCACUAUAUUUAUAUAUGUAGAAUAUGAAAAUGUACAAUACCAUAAUAGUCACCUUAUGUUUAUAAAUAAUAAAUCUUUUAAAAAGUAUGUAUCA